RNAcentral lists this long non-coding RNA (749 nucleotides) under Capsella rubella. RNAcentral describes it as "long non-coding RNA (CRUB_LNC000098)". The record is from RNAcentral. Lineage: Eukaryota; Viridiplantae; Streptophyta; Magnoliopsida; Brassicales; Brassicaceae.
UAUCCCUUCUAACCCUAUUCUCCAACGGUUCUAUACAUUUAAAACUACUAAUUUAAACUUAAAUCUACACAAAUAAUGGAGAAGAAAGUGACAUGAAGAGAGAUAGAGAGCAGGCCCCAAGUGUUGAUAGUGACAUCUCCGAGAUUGCUUCUAAAGCCAACUUGUGGUUUGUCUCUUUGGUUGCUUUAUCCCCAACGUCUCUAUUGAGGUCUUGGGCGCCUAAGAAUGAUAGUGACAGGUCAUAAACGUUCCUCUUAGCCCACAUGUGAAUCCUUGCAACUUGCAUUGCUUCCACACACAUGUGACUCCUCUUUUGGCGCUUAAACACAUUCAAAUCUAGGGACUUCUUCACUUCUUUCAUUGUCCCUAGAUUUGCACAUUCUUUAUCAACUUAUUAUUGACCCUAGAUUUGCACAUCUUUAUCUUCAAGAUUGACCCGAACUUUGCACAUUCUUCUUUGGUGAUUAAACCCCGGUUUUGCACAUCUUGGUGAUGACCCGAACUUUGCACAAGCUUCGGUCUUGAUAACUUUGACCCGAACUUUGCACAUUCGUUUCUUGAGUCUUGGUGACUUGACCCGUGUUUUGCACGGCUAUUAUCAACACUUCGAGUAGAGCUCUUCGGCCUUGUCUUAAGGAACUUCGGCCUCGGCUCUCCUUUGCUUCUUGUGUUUUCCGUGACACGUCUUGUAUUAAUCGCGAGUUGACUUCCGGAUGUAUGGCUCCUUUACAUGACUUCUUCAUCCGGUU